This 838-nucleotide long non-coding RNA is filed under the name Olea europaea subsp. europaea. Lineage: Eukaryota; Viridiplantae; Streptophyta; Magnoliopsida; Lamiales; Oleaceae. The record is from RNAcentral.
AUAUAACGAGUGAAGAUCAGUUUGCCGUGCUCGCAACAGAUGGGGUUAGUAUGAUCUUAUUCAUUAAUCUUGCCCUUGUGGACAAAUGUUCAAGCAUAGGUAACAAUAUUGCAUUUCUUUUAAGGAUAACAUGGCUGGCUUAAAAUCACUAUGAUUCCAAUUAGGCAACAUCUGUUUGUACUGAUCCACGAAGCACACGGUAUUCAUUUAGAUCAUGUAAAGCAUAGGCCAGGAGGCAAUUUUCGAUUUUGUUGGUUAGGCUUUGAGGGAGGAAAAUUUGACAAUAAGCAGAAACCUGUGAAGCCAGCCGAGUUCAGCCGCUCUUGUUCAAGUAUCUUUAAAAUAUAUGUAAUCAUCACAUAAGCUAUAUGAUCCGUGGGGUGCAAAAAUAUUUUACAUUCGAUAAUAGCCGCCUUAUCUCAGAUGUCUUUACCAUGUACUUUUGUGCCAUAUAUAUGAGCGAACUUUAAUUACGAAAGAUUGAUACUGAUAUUGAAUUCUGUGUUUGAUGGAACGAAGGUAUGGGACGUUAUAUCGAACGAAGAAGCGGUGGAAAUUGUGUCAUCAACUGAAGACAGAGGAAACUCAGCUAAAUGUCUUGUGAAGUGUGCUGCCCAUUUAUGGAAGAAGAAGAGAAAGGAAAUAGCAGUGGAUGAUAUAUCAGCUAUUGUACUCUUCUUUCAUUCUUCUUCUUCUUCUUCUUCUUUAUGUGAUCAAGUUUACCCUGAUGUAUCUUCACGAAAGUAACUAAUUCUGACAAAGGAUUGUUGAAAAUUAACUGCAUUUAUGUAAUCUCUCCCUCUUCCUCUAUUACUCGCAGCAAAAUCACUACAAUUAG